Molecule: ribosomal RNA, 480 nt
Filed under: Pectobacterium cacticida
Lineage: Bacteria; Pseudomonadati; Pseudomonadota; Gammaproteobacteria; Enterobacterales; Pectobacteriaceae
Description: bacterial SSU rRNA
Rfam family: Bacterial small subunit ribosomal RNA
Source: RNAcentral
UUAAAACUCAAAUGAAUUGACGGGGGCCCGCACAAGCGGUGAAGCAUGUGGUUUAAUUCGAUGCAACGCGAAGACCUUACCUACUCUUGACAUCCACAGAAGGCUUUAGAGAUAGAGCUGUGUCUUCGGAAACUGUGAGACAGGUGCUGCAUGGCUGUCGUCAGCUCGUGUUGUGAAAUGUUGGGUUAAGUCCCGCAACGAGCGCAACCCUUAUCCUUUGUUGCCAGCGAUUAGGUCGGGAACUCAAAGGAGACUGCCGGUGAUAAACCGGAGGAAGGUGGGGAUGACGUCAAGUCAUCAUGGCCCUUACGAGUAGGGCUACACACGUGCUACAAUGGCGUAUACAAAGAGAAGCGAGCCUGCGAGGGUGAGCGGACCUCAUAAAGUACGUCGUAGUCCGGAUUGGAGUCUGCAACUCGACUCCAUGAAGUCGGAAUCGCUAAGUAAUCGUAGAUCAGAAUGCUACGGUGAAUACGUUCC